This 22-nucleotide non-coding RNA is filed under the name Mus musculus (house mouse). Lineage: Eukaryota; Metazoa; Chordata; Mammalia; Rodentia; Muridae. The record is from RNAcentral.
AGUGAUUUAUUGCUUCUUUAGC